Molecule: ribosomal RNA, 467 nt
Filed under: uncultured bacterium
Lineage: Bacteria
Description: partial 16S ribosomal RNA
Rfam family: Bacterial small subunit ribosomal RNA
Source: RNAcentral
GACGAACGCUGGCGGCGUGCUUAACACAUGCAAGUCGAACGGAAAGGCCCUGCUUUUGUGGGUGGCCGGGGGGCGAACGGGGGAGGAACACGUGAGUAAACCUGCCCUGACUUUGGGGUAACUUUAGGAAACCGGGGCUAAUACCGGGAAGGAGGCUCUGCCGCAUGGUGGGGGGUGGGAAGGUUUGGCGGUUGGGGGUGGACUCGCGGCUUAUCAGCUUGUUGGUGGGGUAGUGGCUUACCAAGGCUUUGACGGGUAGCCGGCCUGAGAGGGUGACCGGCCACAUUGGGACUGAGAUACGGCCCAGACUCCUACGGGAGGCAGCAGUGGGGAAUAUUGCACAAUGGGCGGAAGCCUGAUGCAGCAACGCCGCGUGCGGGAUGACGGCCUUCGGGUUGUAAACCGCUUUCGCCUGUGACGAAGCGUGAGUGACGGUAAUGGGUAAAGAAGCACCGGCUAACUACGUG